AUUGGCACUGGCGGAAUAGUCACUUGUUGUGCAAUUGUGGUGUUCCUUCAGUGGCAUAAA
Molecule: microRNA precursor, 60 nt
Filed under: Eisenia fetida (common brandling worm)
Lineage: Eukaryota; Metazoa; Annelida; Clitellata; Crassiclitellata; Lumbricidae
Description: Efe-Mir-96-P1_pre stem-loop
Source: RNAcentral